Molecule: long non-coding RNA, 524 nt
Organism: Zalophus californianus (California sea lion)
Lineage: Eukaryota; Metazoa; Chordata; Mammalia; Carnivora; Otariidae
Exons: 3
Source: RefSeq, a predicted model, not a curated record
AAAGAAGGUUACUGGACAAAGAGGCGGGUGGAGGAAAGAAGGAUGCAAAGACAACAUUCGGGCCAAAGGCUGGGCAGCAGACUCAGAUGGAGGAGCCAUUUUGAUGGGGAGAUGCCUUAUUGAUCCACUGUACAAAUGGAUGGCUACCAUUUGUUGCAUUCUUCUGGGGAGCCUGGCACCGUGCUGUUCAUUUGUGCCUGCAUUUACAUAACUCUAACAACUCUGUGAGUGCUCCCUUUGAAGAACUGCCUUGGGGUUCAUGUGGCAGCAUCAAAUGGGGAUGGAAGAUGCAGCUCAGGUUAGCAGUGGGAGCCUGUAAAACUUGAGUCCCUGGGGACGCCUGGCAUACAGAAUCCUGCCCUGAGCCCAGAGCACAACGGACUUCACAGGUACAGUCACGCUGACGUGCCUGAGAGCACAGAGAAGUCACACACGCGGUCCCUUGCGUGCAUGGCCCCAGCGCGCAUCCGGAGAGCAGGCUCACGUGCACGUGUUGGCAGGCAUGCAUACCCCCGGCAGGUAUG